GGAGAUUCAUCGUUAAAAUAAUUGGUAUUAAUAUUAAUAAUGAUGCGGUGGAAAAUCCUUGUGGUUGGAAACUGUACAUUUUAGUAUUAUUUUGCCCGUUAUGUCGGCGUGCACUUCUCCUCUAGUAGAACAUCGCGACCCGUUAAAUGUUGAUUUAUAGCCCGAUUAGUUGUCUCUAAUUCUGCUUGCAGUAAUUAGAAACUAUUGGUGUUCUUAAUCAACUGUUUGACGGUAUUCAAAUGGUAAUAAGUCGCUGGAAUUGCGUUAAAUUCAUUACAAGUUGGAUUAAUUAUCGACAUUACGGAUCUGAUGCCGUAGUUGAGAUUAAUUAACUGUUAGUGGUGAUAAUCUUUAACUGACUUAUAUACCGGUCAGCGAUGCUAUUGCUUUGGGUACUUUCAGGACCCGUCUUGAAACACGGACCAAGGAGUCUAACAUGUACGCAAGUCAUUGGGAUAUUGAAAACAAACCUAAAGGCGUAAUGAAAGUAAAGAUUGUCUUCUGACAAUUAAGGGAGGAUAGGUUAUGUUACGAUAUAAUCUCGCACUCCCGGGGCA
Molecule: ribosomal RNA, 557 nt
Filed under: Chelonus (Microchelonus) sp. RK217
Lineage: Eukaryota; Metazoa; Arthropoda; Insecta; Hymenoptera; Braconidae
Description: eukaryotic LSU rRNA
Rfam family: Eukaryotic large subunit ribosomal RNA
Source: RNAcentral